AGAGUUUGAUCCUGGCUUAGAACGAACGCUGGCGGCGUGCUUAACACAUGCAAGUCGUACGAGAAAGCUCCCUUCGGGGAGUAAGUAAAGUGGCGCACGGGUGAGUAACACAUAAAUAAUCUGCCCCCAGGUCUGGGACAACGGUUCGAAAGGACCGCUAAUACCGGAUAAUACCGCGGACCUUCGGGUCUCGCGGCCAAAGGAGAAUUCUUCGGUCCUCCACCAGGGGAUGAGCCCGCGGCCCAUUAGGUUGUUGGUGAGGUAACGGCUCACCAAGCCGAUGAUGGGUAGCUGAUCUGGGAGGAUGAUCAGCCACACUAGAACUGAGACACGGUCCAGACUCCUACGAAAGGCAGCAGUGGGGAAUAUUGCGCAAUGGGCGAAAGCCUGACGCAGCAACGCCGCGUGGGUGAUGAAGGCUUUUGGGUCGUAAAGCCCUGUCAGAAAAGAAGAAAUGGCAGUUGAGGAAAUACUUCUGCCUUGACGGUACCCUCAAAGGAAGCACCGGCUAACUCCGUGCCAGCAGCCGCGGUAAUACGGGGGGUGCUAGCGUUGUUCGGAAUCACUGGGCGUAAAGCGCGUGUAGGCGGAUAGGUAAGUCAGAUGUGAAAUCCCGAGGCUCAACCUCGGACGUGCAUUUGAAACUGCCUGUCUAGAGUGCGGAAGAGGGAAGGGGAAUUCCCGGUGUAGAGGUGAAAUUCGUAGAUAUCGGGAGGAAUACCGGUGGCGAAGGCGCCUUCCUGGGCCGACACUGACGCUGAGACGCGAAAGCGUGGGGAGCAAACAGGAUUAGAUACCCUGGUAGUCCACGCCGUAAACGAUGAGCACUAAGUGUUGCGGGUAUCGACCCCUGCAGUGCCGCAGCUAACGCAUUAAGUGCUCCGCCUGGAGAGUACGGCCGCAAAGUUAAAACUCAAAGGAAUUGACGAAAACCCGCACAAGCAAUGGAGUAUGUGGUUUAAUUCGAUGCAACACGAAAAACCUUACCUGGACUUAACAUCUCCAAAAACCCCCAAAAAAGAGGACAUGCCCUUCGGAGAACCGGAUGACAAAUACUGCAUAGCUAUCGUCAGCUCGUGUCGUAAAAUGUUGGGUUAAGUCCCGCAACGAGCGCAACCCUUGUCCUUAUUUGCCAUCAUUCAGUUGGGAACUAUAAGGAGACUGCCGGUGUUAAACCGGAGGAAGGUGGGGAUGACGUCAAGUCCUCAUGGCCCUUACGCCCAGGGCUACACACGUACUACAAUGGUCGGCACAAAGAGUAGCAAUGCCGCGAGGUGGAGCCAACCUCAAAAAACCGGCCUCAGUUCGGAUUGCAGUCUGCAACUCGACUGCAUGAAGUCGGAAUCGCUAGUAAUCGCGUAUCAGCAUGACGCGGUGAAUACGUUCCCGGGCCUUGUACACACCGCCCGUCACACCACGAAAGUCGAUUGGACCUGAAAUCGGUGAGCUAACCCUCACGGGAGGCAUCCGCUUAUGGUCUGGUCGGUGAUUGGGGUGAAGUCGUAACAAGGUA
This 1513-nucleotide ribosomal RNA is filed under the name metagenome. RNAcentral's name for it is "bacterial SSU rRNA". It matches the Rfam family "Bacterial small subunit ribosomal RNA". The record is from RNAcentral.